UAAUAUGAAAGAAUAAAUUCUUUUUAAUUUCGACUUAAAUAAUAGAUUAUAUAAAUUAAUCCAUAUUAA
This 69-nucleotide transfer RNA is filed under the name Vespidae sp. MT-2014. Its description in RNAcentral is "tRNA-Arg". Lineage: Eukaryota; Metazoa; Arthropoda; Insecta; Hymenoptera; Vespidae. The record is from RNAcentral.